GAUGAACGCUGGCGGCGUGCCUAAUACAUGCAAGUCGAGCGAACGGACGAUAAGCUUGCUUCUCUGAUGUUAGCGGCGGACGUGUGAGUAACACGUGUAUAACCUACCUAUAAGACUGGUAUAACUUCGGGAAACCGGAGCUAAUACCGUAUAAUAUUUUGAACCGCAUGGUUCAAAAGUGAAAGACGGUCUUGCUGUCACUUAUAGAUGGAUCCGCGCUGCAUUAGCUGGUUGUUAAGGUAACGGCUUACCAAGGCAACGAUGCAUAGCCGACCUAAGAGGGUGAUCGGCCACACUGGAACUGAGACACGGACCAGACUACUACGGGAGGCAGCAGUAGCGAAUCUUACGCAAUAGGCGAAAGCCUUACGGAGCAACGCGGCGUGAGUGAUGACAGUCUUCGGAUCGUAAAACUCUGUUAUUAGGGAAGAACAUAUGUGUAAGUAAAUGUGCACAUCUUGACGGUAACUAAUCAGAAAGCCACGGCUAACUACGUG
This 497-nucleotide ribosomal RNA is filed under the name uncultured bacterium. RNAcentral describes it as "partial 16S ribosomal RNA". It matches the Rfam family "Bacterial small subunit ribosomal RNA", at positions 28 to 507 of the family's 1533-position model. The record is from RNAcentral.